RNAcentral lists this ribosomal RNA (459 nucleotides) under Granulicatella adiacens. Its description in RNAcentral is "bacterial SSU rRNA". It matches the Rfam family "Bacterial small subunit ribosomal RNA", at positions 28 to 467 of the family's 1533-position model. Lineage: Bacteria; Bacillati; Bacillota; Bacilli; Lactobacillales; Carnobacteriaceae. The record is from RNAcentral.
GACGAACGCUGGCGGCGUGCCUAAUACAUGCAAGUCGAACGAGAGCGACCGGUGCUUGCACUGGUCAAUCUAGUGGCGAACGGGUGAGUAACACGUGGGUAACCUGCCCAUCAGAGGGGGAUAACAUCCGGAAACGGAUGCUAAAACCGCAUAGGUCUUCGAGCCGCAUGGCUUGAAGAGGAAAAGAGGCGCAAGCUUCUGCUGAUGGAUGGACCCGCGGUGCAUUAGCUAGUUGGUGAGGUAACGGCUCACCAAGGCCGUGAUGCAUAGCCGACCUGAGAGGGUGAUCGGCCACAUUGGGACUGAGACACGGCCCAAACUCCUACGGGAGGCAGCAGUAGGGAAUCUUCCGCAAUGGACGCAAGUCUGACGGAGCAACGCCGCGUGAGUGAAGAAGGUUUUCGGAUCGUAAAACUCUGUUGUUAGAGAAGAACAAGUGCUAGGAGUAACUGUUAGCGC